GGUGCUCACAACUAGGAAGACCUUCCUGCCCCAGAGCUGCCUCUGUCUUUCCAGAAAAACAGGAGAUCUUUUCCUAUUAAGGCAAAGAGACUACACUGAGGAGUAUGACAAGUUUUCAGCUUGAGAAGGGCUUGCAUUCUGUAGGAGAAAUGAACAAACAGCAUUAAUGUUGAUGAUGCAACAUGGAACAAGUGCUAUGACAGAGAUUAAAAAACAAGUGCUUGUUCAUUUACUGGAAAGACAGAAGACCGAUUCAGCCUGGAAAGAAAAAUCCCUGAGAAGAUGGUAUGGACUAAACAAAUAAAUGGGAUUUUAACAAAUAAAGAAUAAAAAUUAUUUUAUUUUAUAAAGGGAGGCACAAUAAUCUAAUCUGAAUAUGAUUUGGAUGUGAGUAAGGGUUGCAGGAGGUGAGUAAGGGUUGCAGGAGAUGAGGGAGGGAGUAUGUAGAUAUCUGGGGUAAAAGCAUUUCUGGCUGAGAAGACAGCAAGUGCAAAUGCCCUGAGACAGGAUCAGGGCUUUUGAGGAAUCACAAAAAAACCCAAUGAUCUUGGAAUAGAAUGUGCAAGCCAAAGUGGGUCCAAGACCAGAUCAGAGUGAUGGGAAGCGGAGGGGGGCAGAAUAUGUAGAGCCUGGGAUGUCAUUGUAAGAACCUGGGCUUUUACUCUGAGUAAAAUAUGAAGUCAUUAGAACUUUUGGAACUAAAAAGGGGCAGAACUGUCUCUCUCACUGCUGUGUUGAGAAUAGAAUGAAAGGAUCAAGGACAUAAGUCGGAAGACCAGUCAGGAGACUAUGGCGGUAUUCCAGGUAAAACAUGAUGUGUCUCAGACAAGGGUGGUGGCAAAACUAGUGGGAUUCUUAAAUUUUGGAUGUGGGAUCAAUAAAAAUGUGUUGAUGGAUUGGAAGCAUAAGAGAAAGGGCACCCAGGAAUGACCUUAAGUUCUUGGCCUGAGCAACGGGGGAAAGGAGGUUGCCAAUAAUAACUGAGAACCUGAAGCUUGGAGGAGGAGUGAUACAGGGGACGAGCAGGAGCUCAGCUAUAGACACGCUAAAUUUGAGAUACGUUUUAGUCAUUGUUUGGUGAUAUCAGGUUGGCAAUUGGAUGUACUGGUCUAGAGUCCAGGGUGGGGUCUGGGCUGAAAAUGCAUACUUGGACAUCAUCAAUUUUUGACAAGAUGGCUUUAGAGCAUCAUAAUACACAUUUAGUUGAUUGUAGAAGGAAUAUAGAAUUGUGAUGCCAAAGUUUGUGGCUUGCUCCACCAUGAUGAAUUGCUUUCUAAAUGAUUUUAAUGUUCUCUGUGUUAUAAUGAUGUGGAAUGUUUAUUGGAAUUGCACAUUUGACCGUUAACUUACUUAAAGUGGUAAAACAUUUUUACUCUAAAAAUAAAAAAUUAAAACAAUCACACAUA
This 1406-nucleotide long non-coding RNA is filed under the name Homo sapiens (human). RNAcentral's name for it is "HSALNT0368478". The record is from RNAcentral. Lineage: Eukaryota; Metazoa; Chordata; Mammalia; Primates; Hominidae.